RNAcentral lists this ribosomal RNA (464 nucleotides) under uncultured bacterium. RNAcentral's name for it is "partial 16S ribosomal RNA". It matches the Rfam family "Bacterial small subunit ribosomal RNA", at positions 339 to 795 of the family's 1533-position model. The record is from RNAcentral.
CUACGGGUGGCUCCAGUGGGGAAUAUUGCACAAUGGGCGCAAGCCUGAUGCAGCCAUGCCGCGUGUAUGAAGAAGGCCCUCGGGUUGUAAAGUACUUUCAGCGGGGAGGAAGGGAGUAAAGUUAAUACCUUUGCUCAUUGACGUUACCCGCAGAAGAAGCACCGGCUAAGUCCGUGCCAGCAGCCGCGGUAAUACGGAGGGUGCAAGCGUUAAUCGGAAUUACUGGGCGUAAAGCGCACGCAGGCGGUUUGUUAAGUCAGAUGUGAAAUCCCCGGGCUCAACCUGGGAACUGCAUCUGAUACUGGCAAGCUUGAGUCUCGUAGAGGGGGGUAGAAUUCCAGGUGUAGCGGUGAAAUGCGUAGAGAUCUGGAGGAAUACCGGUGGCGAAGGCGGCCCCCUGGACGAAGACUGACGCUCAGGUGCGAAAGCGUGGGGAGCAAACAGGAUUAGAUACCCGCGUAGUC